GGCGGAUGUAGCCAAGUGGAUCAAGGCAGUGGAUUGUGUGAAUCCCCCAUAAGGGGCGGAUGUAGCCAAGUGGAUCAAGGCAGU
Molecule: transfer RNA, 84 nt
Filed under: Dendrocalamus brandisii
Lineage: Eukaryota; Viridiplantae; Streptophyta; Magnoliopsida; Poales; Poaceae
Description: partial tRNA-His
Source: RNAcentral